UGGCUCGGUUUCCUGGGGGGUGGGCUCAGCCUUGCCCACCUCCCCUCAGACGAGCCGAGAGUAGAGAGACUGGGCUUCCUUCCCCAGGGGAGAGGUGGUUAAGAAAGGUGCCUCACCUGGACUGUCCUCGCCUCACAUUU
Molecule: non-coding RNA, 140 nt
Organism: Rhinolophus ferrumequinum (greater horseshoe bat)
Lineage: Eukaryota; Metazoa; Chordata; Mammalia; Chiroptera; Rhinolophidae
Source: Ensembl